This 257-nucleotide ribosomal RNA is filed under the name uncultured bacterium. Its description in RNAcentral is "partial 16S ribosomal RNA". It matches the Rfam family "Bacterial small subunit ribosomal RNA", at positions 524 to 776 of the family's 1533-position model. The record is from RNAcentral.
UACGUAGGGCGCAAGCGUUGUCCGGAAUUAUUGGGCGUAAAGAGCUCGUAGGCGGUUUGUCGCGUCUGCUGUGAAAACCUAAGGCUCAACCUUGGGCUUGCAGUGGGUACGGGCAGACUAGAGUGCGGUAGGGGUGACUGGAAUUCCUGGUGUAGCGGUGGAAUGCGCAGAUAUCAGGAGGAACACCGAGUGGCGAAGGCAGGUCACUGGGCCGCAACUGACGCUGGAGGAGCGGAAAAGCAUGGGGAGCGAACAGG